Molecule: long non-coding RNA, 1580 nt
Organism: Triticum aestivum (bread wheat)
Lineage: Eukaryota; Viridiplantae; Streptophyta; Magnoliopsida; Poales; Poaceae
Exons: 4
Source: RefSeq, a predicted model, not a curated record
CAUAUAAACCCUCCUAGACUCGUAGUCACGACCGUUGCCUCCAUGUCGCCUUUAAAUCGCUAUGCCACCGCCUGUAAAUUCCGUGCCCCGCCAAGGGCAUUUUAGUCAUUUCACGCACAGCAUAUAAAACGCAGCCCGCCCGUGGAGAAACCCUAGCUGCUGCCUCCGCCCGCACUCGCGCCCCCACCUACCCACAGAGCUCUUUCCCCCGAUCCCCUCCCACGAACCCUAGCCUCCUGGUGACGCCGCCCCUUCCUUCCCCCGUCCCCCUCACCCCCCCCUCCCGCCGCCGCGAGCCCCUCCCUCCUCUUCGCGUUCCGGGCGGCCAUGGGCGACUCCAUGAGCGAGACCACCGCCGUCGCGGCGCUCGUGGCCGGCGGCGCACACCACGGGGCUCGGGACGUCCGCGGUGGUGCGGGCUGUGGACCGAGAUGCAGGGCUCGGGACGUCCGUGGCGGCGCGGCCUGUGGACCGAGAGGCAGGGCUCAGGACGUCCGCGGCGGCACGGGCUGUGGACCGAGAGGGAGGGCCUGUGAUGCAUUCCGUUCGAGGGGCUGGUCAGGUUGGCGCGGGAUCUGAGCCACCGUCGAUGGAUUUCUCGCAGCUUGGCUACUGUUGCUUUGGAUCCGGGCGAGGAGCCGCCGCCAUGUUUCUCCCCGAGCUCUGUGGUAGAAUGGUCUAUUUGUAUGAGAUUGUGUUUAGCGGAUGCGAAGAGCUCAGUUCUGGUAAGCUAGACCCUGAGGCGUGCAGCAGGUAUGUGGAGAUUAAGGAGCGUGCCCAUGUGAGCGGCUUCGAUUUUGUUGUGCCAAGAUCUCUGGUGGCAGGGAUUCACUUCGUUUUUUUGGUGAUGGUCAGGAGGUUAUAUAGUUUGAUGUUUCUGAAUUUUAACAAUCAUGUUUUACAGUACCCUUGACAUGAAUGAGAUCAUUGGGCUUAAAUGAGAACGAUGAGAACCAUCUGUUCUCCAUCGCAAUUAGCAUGUGUUUAAACUACUACUGCAGCAAAUGUUUGUCGUACCUUCAGUUUGUGCCGCAGAAUCUGUGUUUCAUUGGCACUUUUGUGUGUGUUUGAUUUAGUAUCUUUACCCAGGUGCUUGCUAGAGGAGAAGAUUAAUGGUCCGACACAGCUUCAUGAUGUAUGAGCUGGAGGAGAGGGCAUUGGAUGAACCAAUCAGUUCGAAGUUGUAGAGUUUGGAGGUGGAUGUUACUAAAGGGAGGAAGUUGAUCACAAGUUUUCUUUUAGCAAUUGGUGAGUUACAGGGAUAUCAUGUGCAUAUGUAUGAGUCUGCUUUGCUUCGGUUGAAGAUAUAUGUGUGCCUGAAGAUACAAUCUUACAUGCAUUUUCUGUAUGAUAUGAUCACUAUUUCAUUCUCUGUGUGUACGUAGGUUGCAAGAAUGAGAAGGCUCCUCCGUGCUUAACAGGAAGAGACAGGGUCGCAGCCGCACCGCACGACGGCAGGCCAUGGCGAGCCGCACCACACCAGGUGGGCUAGAGCGAGCUCCAGCGCGAGCGAGCGCACCCGUCGCCCAUGCUGGCGGUGUCCCGGCCACGAGCAACAGGAACACAGGGUCCCUGACCAC